AUGCGCCUUGAUUCAGAUGGUGCUUUGGAAAGCUUAGAAAUUGUUGUUGCUAACAUGACAGAAUUUGUUGUGCUUCUGGGUGGAUGCGAGCGCAUGUCUCGUAGGGCAUAUGAUGUUUAUCUUUACACCAACAACUUCAUGUUCAGCCGACAUUCUGAAAAGCAAAGGCUCUUGAACUUCUUGUUGGGGCACAAUGAUUCUCCUGGUGAUCAUGCACUAGCAGUUCUUCCAAUCAUAGGUGGUGUUGGAGUUGGGAAUAAAACAUUGGUUGCUCAUGUGUGUGGCGAUGAUAGGGUUCUCUCACGCUUCUCCUCCAUUUUGCACUUGAAUGGGGACAGCCUAUUGACGAUACUUGACCAUGGAAGGACCAUGUUUGGGAUGACAUUGGUAGUUAUUGAGUUUGUUUCUGAUGUAAGUGACGAUGAUUGGAAAAAGUUUCACUCGUUUCCAAUAAGAAUCAACAGAGGAAGCAAGAUCAUCAUUAUAAUUAAACUUAAAACAUUAGGCUGGUUUGGAUCAGUGCAGCCUAAUUUCCUAAGUGUUCUGUCUUAUGACGAGUUGAGGUGCCUUUUCAACAUACUGGCAUUUGGGAGCAUAGACUCCACAGAGCAUCCACGACUAGUACAAAUAGCAGAUGAGUUUGCCAAGGAGUUGCACAGUAUGCAAGGCACACUUGUUGCAACAAAUAUGUACGCGGAUGUGUUGACAAGGAACCUCAAUGUCUAGUUCUGGUGCAUAUUGGACAAGGGAAGAAUAUUUAUUAAAAGAAACCUCUCCAUAUAUGGUGUGCACCCCACCACGCUUCUAGAACAAGGCCAUCCAGUGGACAUAACGGACUAUGCUUUGCAUCCACUUAGCAUGAGACGUCACACAAUUAAUGUUUCAGUCAAGGAGGAACUACCAAGUAUGACAAUGGGGAAACUUCUAACAGAUCCAAAUGUUAGACCCAAAGAAGAUUUCAUUCUAAUUUGGGAAUCAAGGAUGCCCACUCAUACCUCAUUUGCUCGUCUUGUUACUAGUAAUGCUCAGGAGGCACAUGAAGGUAAUGCCUUGCCAGGGUGGAAGGGACGAGAAGUGCCAAUAUAA
Molecule: ribosomal RNA, 1086 nt
Filed under: Triticum aestivum (bread wheat)
Lineage: Eukaryota; Viridiplantae; Streptophyta; Magnoliopsida; Poales; Poaceae
Description: partial small subunit ribosomal RNA
Source: RNAcentral